GGGGGUGGGGUGUCUGCAGAGGAUGAACCAGGCGCCACCUUCCUGCCUUUUGGGACCCGACCAUAGCUGGGGCUUUGAGCUGCUGACACAGACCACCUGCGCAGAUAGGAAACUGAGGCACAGAGUAUAAAUAACAGCCUAGGCAGCCAAGUGUCUAUUCAGCAAAUGCUAGCUUAACUGAAGAUGCCGGAGAUGUGGCCGGAGCAAUUGCCUGGAUGCAGGAAUUCCUUCACUUGGUCCUCAGUACCUUAUAAACUGGGCCUAUAAUCCCAGCACUCAGUAGUUGGAAGUAGGAAGAUCAGAGGUCAGCAUCAUCCUCAUCUUUGACACAUGAUGGAAACCCAAGGAUAACCUGGGCUACAUGAGCCCUAUCAGGGGAAAAUGUUGUCAGGGGCUGGGCCACACAAGCUUGAAGACACAAGUUUGGAUCCCUAACCACCCACAUUCAAACAGAUCUUGGUGGCAGGUCUGAAACCCCAGCACUCAGGAAUUAGAGGUAGGAGGACUCUUGGAGCUUGCUGGUCCAACCAGACAGACAUUCUAGCCAACCAGUGAGGACCAGGUUCAGCAAAAGACAUUGUUCAAAAAUUAAGAUGAAAAAGCGAUUGAUUAAGACACCCACUGUCACUCUCUGGGCUCCACACAGGUUCACGCCCUCCUCCCCCAAUACAUGUACCCCCCAUGUGUAUACACACGGAUAAUACAUAAACAUACGUAAAACCACAGAAGGAGCUGUUCGGUGACUUGCUCCAAGUUUCUUAAGAGCCCCUCUCUCAACAGCCCCGGCAGCCUGCCACUGGCAGAUGCCCACACAUCUACAGUGUGGCCUCUCUGUAGGUCAGUGUGACUAGCUGCAGAGGUUGGCAUUGUAACUCUGUGAGAACACAAGCAUCAAGUAUUAAGUAGCUAAAAUAUGCCAGUGUUUCCAUAAUGUGUAUCACAGCACUUUAAACUCACAGCGACCCUGAGAGAGAGGAAUUACUAUUCUGGUAUUGCAAAUGCAGGAACUGAGGCAGAGAAAGUAAUUUGCCUGUGGCCUUACAGUUAGUAAGGAUGGAACUGGAGCCCAGGUAUUUUGGCUCUACUCCCUAAUGUUCUUGCUAAUUGACUAAACCACAGUGGCCUUAUUAGUGUGUGUGAGGCUUGUGCCUGAGUGUGACUUCAUUUGUUGGGUGGAAGAGAGGAACCAUGCAUGUGGUCACAGCAGGGGCCACUGCCUCUGGUGCAGCCUGAGAUGUGAGGAGAUACAGAGAAACAAGCGGGGAAGGCUGAUCUGAAAUGAACCUGUCAAUGGAAAGGACAAGGUCCACUACACCUUUACUUGCUUUGAAGGAUUUACCUGGUUAUGAAAUGUAGCUAAAUUUGAUUUUGAAAUUAAAAAUGUCCUCUCUGUAAUAAUAAAAGAGAUCAUUCAUCAAGCA
This is a long non-coding RNA of Mesocricetus auratus (golden hamster), 1421 nucleotides long. RefSeq lists it as uncharacterized. The record is from RefSeq and is a predicted model, not a curated record. NCBI's taxonomy places the organism in Eukaryota, Metazoa, Chordata, Mammalia, Rodentia, Cricetidae. The transcript is spliced from 3 exons.